CCUGCGUAGCAUCAGCUAGUUGGUGGGGGUAAUGGCCUACCAAGGCGAAGACGCUUAGCUGGUCUGAGAGGAUGAUCAGCCACACUGGGACUGAGACACGGCCCAGACUCCUACGGGAGGCAGCAGUGGGGGAAUAUUGGACAAUGGGCGCAAGCCUGAUCCAGCCACGCCGCGUGAGUGAUGAAGGCCUUCGGGUCGUAAAGCUCUGUGGGGAGGGACGAACGGCGCCAUGAAGAGUGGCGAUUGACGGUACCUCCUUAGCAAGCACCGGCUAACUUCGUGCCAGCAGCCGCGGUAAUACGAAGGGUGCAAACGUUGCUCGGAAUCAUUGGGCGUAAAGCGCACGUAGGCGGCUUUCUAAGUCGGAUGUGAAAUCCCUCGGCUUAACCGAGGACGUGCAUCCGAAACUGGGAGGCUUGAGUAUGGAAGAGGGUCGCAGAAUUCCCGGUGUAGAGGUGAAAUUCGUAGAUAUCGGGAGGAAUACCAGUGGC
This 491-nucleotide ribosomal RNA is filed under the name uncultured bacterium. Its description in RNAcentral is "bacterial SSU rRNA". It matches the Rfam family "Bacterial small subunit ribosomal RNA", at positions 230 to 716 of the family's 1533-position model. The record is from RNAcentral.